Acanthosepion pharaonis is the source of this 69-nucleotide non-coding RNA. The record is from the annotation of a GenBank genome assembly. Lineage: Eukaryota; Metazoa; Mollusca; Cephalopoda; Sepiida; Sepiidae.
GAUCACCGAAGUUAAGCAACGUCGAGCCUGCUUAGUACUUAGAUGAGUGACAGCUUGGGAAUACCAGGU